GACGAACGCUGGCGGCGUGCUUAACACAUGCAAGUCGAACGGAAAGGCCCUGCUUUUGUGGGGUGCUCGAGUGGCGAACGGGUGAGUAACACGUGAGUAACCUGCCCUUGACUUUGGGAUAACUUCAGGAAACUGGGGUUAAUACCGGAUAGGAGUUCCUGUGGCAGGGUGGGGGUGGGAAAGUUUCGGCGGUUGGGGAUGGCUUCGCGGCUUAUCAGCUUGUUGGUGGGGUAGUGGCUUACCAAGGCUUUGACGGGUAGCCGGCCUGAGAGGGUGACCGGCCACAUUGGGACUGAGAUACGGCCCAGACUCCUACGGGAGGCAGCAGUGGGGAAUAUUGCACAAUGGGCGGAAGCCUGAUGCAGCAACGCCGCGUGCGGGAUGACGGCCUUCGGGUUGUAAACCGCUUUCGCCUGUGACGAAGCGUGAGUGACGGUAAUGGGUAAAGAAGCACCGGCUAACUACGUG
Molecule: ribosomal RNA, 468 nt
Filed under: uncultured bacterium
Lineage: Bacteria
Description: partial 16S ribosomal RNA
Rfam family: Bacterial small subunit ribosomal RNA
Source: RNAcentral